UACGUAGGGUGCGAGCGUUAAUCGGAAUUACUGGGCGUAAAGCGUGCGCAGGCGGUUUUGUAAGCCAGAUGUGAAAUCCCCGGGCUUAACCUGGGAAUGGCAUUUGGGACUGCAAGGCUGGAGUUUGGCAGAGGAGACUGGAAUUCCUGGUGUAGCAGUGAAAUGCGUAGAUAUCUGGAGGAACACCGGUGGCGAAGGCGGCAUCCUGGACCAACACUGACGCUGAGGAGCGAAAGCCAGGGGAGCAAACGGG
Molecule: ribosomal RNA, 253 nt
Filed under: uncultured bacterium
Lineage: Bacteria
Description: partial 16S ribosomal RNA
Rfam family: Bacterial small subunit ribosomal RNA
Source: RNAcentral